This 305-nucleotide ribosomal RNA is filed under the name uncultured Succinivibrionaceae bacterium. RNAcentral's name for it is "partial 16S ribosomal RNA". Lineage: Bacteria; Pseudomonadati; Pseudomonadota; Gammaproteobacteria; Aeromonadales; Succinivibrionaceae. The record is from RNAcentral.
GGAGUCUGGGCCGUGUCUCAGUCCCAAUGUGGCUGAUCAUCCUCUCAGACCAGCUAGAGAUCAUCGCCUAGGUGAGCCUUUACCUCACCUACUAGCUAAUCCCAACUGGGCACAUCUGAUAGCGACUCGCGUCUUUAACCCUCAGGUAUUAUGCGGUAUUAGCAGCCGUUUCCAGCUGUUGUCCCCCUCUAUCAGGCAGUUUCCCAGUCCUUACUCACCCGUCCGCCACUCGUCAGCACAGAAAGCAAGCUUUCUCCCUGUUACCGUUCGACUUGCAUGUAUUAGGCCUGCCGCCAGCGUUCAAU